UACGUAGGGUGCAAGCGUUAAUCGGAAUUACUGGGCGUAAAGCGUGCGCAGGCGGUUGUGCAAGACCGAUGUGAAAUCCCCGGGCUUAACCUGGGAAUGGCAUUGGUGACUGCACGGCUAGAGUGUGUCAGAGGGGGGUAGAAUUCCACGUGUAGCAGUGAAAUGCGUAGAGAUGUGGAGGAAUACCGAUGGCGAAGGCAGCCCCCUGGGAUAGCACUGACGCUCAUGCACGAAAGCGUGGGGAGCAAACAGG
RNAcentral lists this ribosomal RNA (253 nucleotides) under uncultured bacterium. RNAcentral's name for it is "partial 16S ribosomal RNA". It matches the Rfam family "Bacterial small subunit ribosomal RNA", at positions 524 to 776 of the family's 1533-position model. The record is from RNAcentral.